CCUACGGGUGGCAGCAGUGGGGAAUAUUGCGCAAUGGGCGAAAGCCUGACGCAGCGACGCCGCGUGAGGGAUGAAGGUCUUCGGAUCGUAAACCUCUGUCAGCAGGGAAGAACGGUCACUGGGCUAAGCAGCAGUGAAUGGACGGUACCGGCAAAGGAAGCACCGGCGAACUCCGUGCCAGCAGCCGCGGUAAUACGGAGGGUGCGAGCGUUAAUCGGAAUUACUGGGCGGAAAGCGCUCGGAGGCGGUAUGUCAAGUCAAGGGUGAAAUCCCCGCGCGCAACGUGGGAACUGCCUUUGAAACUGGCAAACUGGCGUGUGUGAGAGUAUAGUGGAAUUCCUGGUGUAGGCGU
RNAcentral lists this ribosomal RNA (352 nucleotides) under uncultured bacterium. RNAcentral describes it as "partial 16S ribosomal RNA". It matches the Rfam family "Bacterial small subunit ribosomal RNA", at positions 338 to 682 of the family's 1533-position model. The record is from RNAcentral.